UCGACUCGAGCGACGCGAGAGAACGUUGCGUCAGCAACGGCCCGCAGGGCGAGCCACGCAGUGGCGAGUCAUCCUCUCCUGGCCUGCU
RNAcentral lists this small RNA (88 nucleotides) under Salmonella enterica subsp. salamae. RNAcentral's name for it is "partial RtT sRNA". It matches the Rfam family "RtT RNA", at positions 43 to 130 of the family's 130-position model. From Rfam's summary of the family: This family represents a bacterial cis-regulatory element known as RtT RNA. The exact function of RtT is unknown although it is thought that it may be involved in changing the cellular response in relation to amino acid starvation. Lineage: Bacteria; Pseudomonadati; Pseudomonadota; Gammaproteobacteria; Enterobacterales; Enterobacteriaceae. The record is from RNAcentral.